UGGGGAAUAUUGCACAAUGGAGGGAACUCUGAUGCAGCGACGCCGCGUGAACGAAGAAGGCUUUCGAGUCGUAAAGUUCUUUUAUAUGGGAAGAUAAUGACGGUACCAUAAGAAAAAGCCCCGGCUAACUACGUGCCAGCAGCCGCGGUAAUACGUAGGGGGCUAGCGUUGUCCGGAAUCACUUGGCGUAAAGGGUUCGCAGGCGGAAAUGCAAGUCAGGUGUAAAAGGCAGUAGCUUAACUACUGUAAGCAUUUGAAACUGCAUAUCUUGAGAAGAGUAGAGGUAAGUGGAAUUUUUAGUGUAGCGGUGAAAUGCGUAGAUAUUAAAAAGAAUACCGGUGGCGAAGGCGGCUUACUGGGCUCAUUCUGACGCUGAGGAACGAAAGCGUGGGUAGCAAACAGG
This 403-nucleotide ribosomal RNA is filed under the name bacterium. Its description in RNAcentral is "partial 16S ribosomal RNA". It matches the Rfam family "Bacterial small subunit ribosomal RNA", at positions 355 to 776 of the family's 1533-position model. The record is from RNAcentral.